AAGUGGAUUAGUGGCGCACGGGUGAGUAACGCAUAGAUGACAUGCCCUUUAGUCUGGGAUAGCCAUUGGAAACGAUGAUUAAUACUAGAUACACCCCACGGGGGAAAGUGGCAUUCAAUAAUGUCCUUAAAGUUUUUUAAAACAAAGAAAUUAAAGUAAAUGUUUUAGAUUCUAUAAGUUUGUAUGGAUAAAUGUAACGGAAUCUAAAAUGAUGCUCUUAAGGGUAUUAUUGAGUGCUUACGCUAAAGGAUUGGUCUAUGUCCUAUCAGCUUGUUGGUAAGGUAAUGGCUUACCAAGGCUAUGACGGGUAUCCGGCCUGAGAGGGUGAACGGACACACUGGAACUGAGACACGGUCCAGACUCCUACGGGAGGCAGCAGUAGGGAAUAUUGCUCAAUGGGGGAAACCCUGAAGCAGCAACGCCGCGUGGAGGAUGAAGGUUUUAGGAUUGUAAACUCCUUUUGUUAGAGAAGAUU
This 475-nucleotide ribosomal RNA is filed under the name uncultured Helicobacter sp. RNAcentral's name for it is "bacterial SSU rRNA". It matches the Rfam family "Bacterial small subunit ribosomal RNA", at positions 85 to 450 of the family's 1533-position model. The record is from RNAcentral. Lineage: Bacteria; Pseudomonadati; Campylobacterota; Epsilonproteobacteria; Campylobacterales; Helicobacteraceae.